CUACGCACUCCUACGGGAGGCAUCAGUGGGGAAUAUUGCACAAUGGGCGCAAGCCUGAUGCAGCCAUGCCGCGUGUAUGAAGAAGGCCUUCGGGUUGUAAAGUACUUUCAGCAGUGAGGAAGGUGGGUAUGUUAAUAGCAUAUUCAUUUGACGUUAGCUGCAGAAGAAGCACCGGCUAACUCCGUGCCAGCAGCCGCGGUAAUACGGAGGGUGCGAGCGUUAAUCGGAAUUACUGGGCGUAAAGCGCAUGCAGGUGGUUUGUUAAGUCAGAUGUGAAAGCCCGGGGCUCAACCUCGGAAUUGCAUUUGAAACUGGCAAACUAGAGUACUGUAGAGGGGGUAGAAUUUCAGGUGUAGCGGUGAAAUGCGUAGAGAUCUGAAGGAAUACCGGUGGCGAAGGCGGCCCCCCUGGACAGAUACUGACACUCAGAUGCGAAAGCGUGGGGAGCAAACAGGAUUAGAUACCCUGGUAG
Molecule: ribosomal RNA, 472 nt
Filed under: uncultured bacterium
Lineage: Bacteria
Description: bacterial SSU rRNA
Rfam family: Bacterial small subunit ribosomal RNA
Source: RNAcentral